Bos grunniens (domestic yak) is the source of this 299-nucleotide unclassified non-coding RNA. It matches the Rfam family "Metazoan signal recognition particle RNA". From Rfam's summary of the family: The signal recognition particle (SRP) is a universally conserved ribonucleoprotein. NCBI's taxonomy places the organism in Eukaryota, Metazoa, Chordata, Mammalia, Artiodactyla, Bovidae. The record is from Ensembl.
GCUGGGAACAGUGAUGUGCGUCUGUAGUCCCAGCUGCUCAGGCCGGCUGAGGCUGGAGGCUCACUUGAGCCUAGGAGUUCUGAGCCGUAGUGCACUGUGCCAAUUGGGCAUCUGCACUAAGUUUGGCAUCAAUAUGAUGACCUCCUGGGAGCUGGGGACCACCAGGUUGCCUAAGGAGGAGCGAACUGCCCAGGUCAGAAAUGGAGCAGGAAAAACUCCCUUGAUGAUCAGUAGUGCGAUAGUGCCUGUGAAUAGCCACUGCACUCCAGCCUGGGCAAUAGCAUAAGACCCCAUCUCUU